Molecule: long non-coding RNA, 296 nt
Filed under: Daucus carota (carrot)
Lineage: Eukaryota; Viridiplantae; Streptophyta; Magnoliopsida; Apiales; Apiaceae
Description: long non-coding RNA (DCAR_LNC003670)
Source: RNAcentral
UUAACUUCUGCUCCAUAUAUCUCAUUGCCUGUGUUGCUGGCAUUUGCAGUCUUAGAGUAUCAAUCUUCACUAUCUCCUUCAUAGUCCGAAAGUGCCUGUUCAAGAUCCAUAGCCAGGUCAUCUUCACUAUCUUCUCCAUUGUGUGCGAGCGCCUGUUCAAGUUCCUUUGCGAGGUCAUCAUCAAAUCCAUCUUCCUCCAGUUGAUGAUUAUCAUUGUCCCCCUGAGUAUGGGACUGGCCAGAAGUUUCCCCCAAUUCACUAUGUACAGUAACUUGGCGUUGUCGGAGGUUGUAUGG